RNAcentral lists this ribosomal RNA (503 nucleotides) under uncultured bacterium. RNAcentral describes it as "partial 16S ribosomal RNA". It matches the Rfam family "Bacterial small subunit ribosomal RNA", at positions 30 to 523 of the family's 1533-position model. The record is from RNAcentral.
AUUGAACGCUGGCGGCAGGCUUAACACAUGCAAGUCGAGCGGGGUGAUGGUGCUUGCACUAUCACUUAGCGGCGGACGGGUGAGUAAUGCUUAGGAAUCUGCCUAUUAGUGGGGGACAACAUCUCGAAAGGGAUGCUAAUACCGCAUACGUCCUACGGGAGAAAGCAGGGGAUCACUUGUGACCUUGCGCUAAUAGAUGAGCCUAAGUCGGAUUAGCUGGUUGGUGGGGUAAAGGCCUACCAAGGCGACGAUCUGUAGCGGGUCUGAGAGGAUGAUCCGCCACACUGGGACUGAGACACGGCCCAGACUCCUACGGGAGGCAGCAGUGGGGAAUAUUGGACAAUGGGGGGAACCCUGAUCUAGCCAUGCCGCGUGUGUGAAGAAGGCCUUAUGGUUGUAAAGCACUUUAAGCGAGGAGGAGGCUCUUUUGGUUAAUACCCAAGAUGAGUGGACGUUACUCGCAGAAUAAGCACCGGCUAACUCUGUGCCAGCCGCCGCUGUAA